This 118-nucleotide ribosomal RNA is filed under the name Micromonospora saelicesensis. RNAcentral describes it as "partial 23S rRNA. Bacterial LSU". It matches the Rfam family "Bacterial large subunit ribosomal RNA", at positions 2811 to 2925 of the family's 2925-position model. The record is from RNAcentral. Lineage: Bacteria; Bacillati; Actinomycetota; Actinomycetes; Micromonosporales; Micromonosporaceae.
AUCCCACCCACUUUGUGGGGUAAGGCCCCCAGCUAGACGACUGGGUUGAUAGGCCGGAAAUGUAAGCCCGGUAACGGGUUCAGUUGACCGGUACUAAUAGGCCGAGGACUUGACUACU